GUUAGGUGAGAGUUUGCAUGAUUCAGUGUGUAAGGGAACAUACUUGAUAGAGAGCCAUACUUUGUGAUCAGGUUAAUAACGGGGUUCAGGAGUCCAACGAUGGUCUGCACAUUGUUUAUUUCACUCCUCGGUCUGAGCAGCCCGUGUCACCCUUAGAGUUGCUGACACCAGCUGAGAUGGUGCUGAACUGACGACACAGAGCACUUACUUUCAAUAGAAGAAAACAGGGGUGGCUAAGAGCCCCAGGAUGAUUUGAAGCAUGGGUGUCCAGUGGGUGAUGAAGUCAAAGAGUUGUAAGAAUACUCUGUCCACACUAGCUGAGAGAUGCAGGUCUGAUAAGACUUGUUGCUGCAAGAAAGCCAUUACUAAGACAUCAGAAUAAGACACAGAGGCUUGCCUGGGCGAUGAAACACCGCCAUGGACUGGAAGAUGUUAUUAUGGACUGAUGGAGCAAAAUGUAAAACAUGGAGGAGGAAGUGUGAUGGUCUGGGCCUGUUUUGCUGGAUCCAGGGUCGGUGACUUGUACAGAGUGAUAGGCACCCUGAACCAGCUCCAUGCAAUACCUCUGGCAUGUACCAAGUUGGUCAAGGGUUCAUCCUACAGGAAGGUAAUAACCCAGAACAUAAGUCCAAGCUAUGCCAGAACUACUUCAGGAAAAAAGAACAAGUAAAGGUGUUUGCUGCCUGGCUGUGGUGCUCCUUGUUCGUUUGGGUCUCCUGAGUGACCAGAGACCAGAGAGACACUCUGAGCCAGAGAGACUGAAGUCCAUGGCACCACGGAAAAAAGUGAAAUUGAAAUUGUAACAGGUUGAUAUAAAAUUGUGAAAACUUGGCAUCUUUGUCUUCCUUCUCAUUAUUAACCUAGCAAGGGCGAGUGGGGGAUUUCUUUUUUUAUUAGAGAUUAUGUAUCGGAAUUUCAGGAGCGGGACCACGUCUCCAAACACGCUCCCUCCAGUUGUCAUCUAUAGGUUCCCCCAGUUCUGUAAGCUGUUCAUUCUCGUUUACGUGCCCCACCCUCCCUCCCUCCUUGUUCUCAGUUCUUUAACUUCUUCAUUUCUAUUUAGUACAUUGGGAUCUGCCAGGCCCGGGAGCCGUCGCAGGUGGACGCGAUGGAGGAGGCACACUUGCACACAGGAAUUUUUUUCAUCCCACAUACAAUUUGUUUACAAAAUACCGAUACUAGUUUAGGUCUGGUUGAAACACAAACCACUGGGUCAAAGACCCAGAAUCAUCACACUUAUGCUUCAGCCAGCUACACAAAGGGUUUGCUUUCUUGCCUCUUUUAUUAGUUUUUUUUCUGCUUUGCUAUAUCAGUGUUAGUCCCUAUGAGACCAUUGAUUCUUGCAGCAUUAAGUGUUGUGAUUUUUUGAUUCAAGUGAAGUGCUUUUUGAACUUUUUGAAAGCAACUGACUCACAUAGUUAUGUUGAUAUCCCAGUCUCAAUAAACAUAUUCCGCAAUGCUUCCGCUUGUUUGUGAUGCUCCUACGAACUGACCAGUAGCCAUCAGGUUGCUGUUAGAAGCACUGCAUUAAAGAAGAAAUAAAAUAAAAUGUAAAAAAUAAAAAAAAGAGAAAAGCACUGUGUGUUUUGUUUUUUGUUUUGUUUUCUACAAACAAACAAACAGUCAUAUUCAAAGUAAUCUCAAAUUAGACUCUUGCACUUUCUCCCAAUGUUUCCU
Astatotilapia calliptera (eastern happy) is the source of this 1677-nucleotide long non-coding RNA. Lineage: Eukaryota; Metazoa; Chordata; Actinopteri; Cichliformes; Cichlidae. The record is from Ensembl.